UACUGCAUCACUAGCACGUCAUAUUCUUGUUCAUUUAUUGCAGCUAAGAAGUGCCAUAAGCAACACUUCAUACCUGUAUAAUUCAUUAGUUGCCAUAGCUGAGGUAAAUAUUUAACUGCUAGAAAAGACAAACUAUGUUUGCCAGGAUAAACGCAUGCAGUAACUGAACUGCAGCAGAGCUUGUGAUAGCGGCUCUGCUGUAAUUAUCAAGUGUUUGAUGUGCGAAGAUUAUACAGAGAUUCGAUGAAUGAAGUUGUUACUCAUUGUGUCUUUACCACCUGCUCAUGUUUGAGGUACAGUAGUUGGCUGCAAAGUUCCUGUUAUUGCAGGUCUGUAUUACAGAAAAACCUUCCACUUUCGGCUCUAAAAACCCACCACAAAGCACCGUCCACUCUGCAAAAGCAAUAGAGUAAAUGUAACAGUCACCUCUUUAAAAACCCAGCUCUGAAACAGUAGGGAAGUGGGGUGAAUUCUCAUACUGCUCUGCUUUGUAAGUGCUGAAAUUACAUCUAAGUACUACUCAAUGAUCACCGUUCUGUCAGAACAUCAAAGACAAUGUACUAAACGGCUCCCCAUUGCCAGAAACCCCAACUGAAGCUAUGAUACCUACAGCUUAAUCCUGUAACUACUGGUUGCAGUCCUAGUUUGGUACAAAAGCCCAUGGCAAUGAAAGUAAUUGGAGAUCAUAAUGGUGUUUCAUUUGCAGAAUAAGGUGACAUGGGGACUGCCCGUAAUCAUUGGAUGCUUGUGUUUUCACUGAAAGUCCUUUCUGAUGCUGCUCUGUAUUAGUUUGUUUUUUUUUCCAUCAGUACCACAAGAAUGAAGUACUGUAGAAAUUAGGCCCAACGUGCUGCUGUAGUAAAUGGGGACUAAUACUGAAACUCAAAUCAGUUCUAGAGUUGCUCUAACUUUAUAAAAUGUGAAGCCCUAUAAUAGUGAAGCAAGAGGGGCUUAAUUUAAAACUACAAACGUGACUGAAGCACUGAGUAAAGCAGCUUCUUCUUUAGUCUUAGAUGGGAAAGCAAUUAAAGUGGAACAAGCACCAAGCCAUCCUUUGAAAGUUGUGGGGGCGUGGGCCACCACCCCCUCCACGAAGCAGGGGUCCUCCCAGGGGCCUUAGAGGUGGAAGAGGCGGCAGUGGCGCAAGAGGACCACCUUCAAGAGGGAGUCACUUGGGAUCUUCCCGAGGGCCACUUCCCAUGAAGAGAGGUCCACCUCCACGAAGUGGAGGCCCUCCACCUAAAAGAUCUGCACCUUCAGGACCAGUGCGUAGCAGUAGUAUGGGAGGAAGAGCUCCUGUGUCACGUGGAAGAGACAGUUAUGGUGGUCCUCCACGCAGAGAGCCGAUGCCCUCACGAAGAGACGUUUACAUGUCUCCAAGAGAUGACGGCUACAGCACUAAGGAUGGUUACUCAAGCAGAGAUUAUCCCAGCUCCAGGGAUACGCGGGACUAUGCACCACCUCCUCGAGACUACGCGUACCGUGAUUACGGUCACUCCAGUUCACGAGAUGAAUACCCCUCUAGGGGAUAUAGUCUUUCCUCCUAUAGUGAUCGUGAUGGAUACGGUGGUGGGCGUGACAGAGACUACUCUGAUCAUCCAAGUGGAGGCUCCUACAGAGAUUCAUAUGACAGUUAUGGGUGAUAACUUCUAGAAGAUAAUCACUGAAGUAAUGCUGGUUCAUCUGUGCUGAUUGCAGAGAUGAUGGUGCCUGUACCAAAGUAUAAGUUACAGUGACCAGAAGAAGGCAGUGCAGCAGUGGGUAUGCAGUGAAAAAUGGAAGGAUAACAAAACACAACUGUGAAAGCUUGGCUUUUGAGUGUGGUGUUCCCCACUAUUUGUUUUAGUGGGCUGUGUUACCAUUCAGAGUUGCCUUUGAAAGUAGCACUACUAAUUUCUUGGAUAUAAAAACAUCAAGUGGAGGUCAUUUGCUGUCUGCCAGCAGCAGUCAGUAGAUGGGCUUCCCUAGAUCCUGCAGCAGAAAAAUGCUCUGAGGUUGCUCUUUAUGUGGGGUGAUUUCUGUUUAUGCUGGGGGGAGAAAGCAAGUUACAUAAAAGUGAGGUUUAGUCCUCUAAAAGGCAGAGAACUAAGUUAUUACAAAUUCUUCACCAAGAAACUGUAAGAAGUUUUAUUAUAUUGUUACAUGUCAUUGUCCAGGCCUUCUGGAUGAGAGGAGGGAAGUGUUGAUGUACUGAGAUGAUAUCAGUGAUAAAUCCCCAGAAUAUUGUGUGUUCUUGCAUGUACUGGCUUCUUGCAAACCUCCAGACAGCACUGCAUCUCUUCACUAGAUGCUGUCUUCAAAACUUGGUCUCGGUUUUGAUGCAUUUUUAUCUUAUAUAUGUGUUCAUGUGCCAGUGGAUGUGAGAGGAAUCCUCAGGCACUGCUAUUCCAUGCAGAAAACUUAAUUUCACAUUGGUUGAAAUACUUAACAGUCACGGCUAAUAAAGUUUAUACUGUGAGACAUAAACUGCUCUCAUUUAAACCACUAACACUCAGUUUAUAAUGCGUAGUUAAAGCAUGCCUAUCUUAAGGGGUUCAAAACUAUUUGUGGGUAUUGGAAUAAGAGUAUUCCUUCAACCAUCAGUUGUGGACUGCAGAUUGUAGGAGUAAGUGUAUGUGUAUGUAGCAGAUGGGUAGAAUUGCAGUAUUUCCCAGGACUAAUAAAUUUACUGUUAAAGAAACUAUGGGU
Molecule: RNA transcript, 2688 nt
Organism: Melopsittacus undulatus (budgerigar)
Lineage: Eukaryota; Metazoa; Chordata; Aves; Psittaciformes; Psittaculidae
Gene: RBMX
Gene name: RNA binding motif protein X-linked
Exons: 7
Source: RefSeq, a predicted model, not a curated record